CUUCAUGGUGGGCCGUGUGGGGACGCCUGCAAGGGCGUGCCGGUUCCGUUUGCCGGUCUGUCAACCCUACAUGGUCUGCCACCCAA
This 86-nucleotide non-coding RNA is filed under the name Giesbergeria anulus. Lineage: Bacteria; Pseudomonadati; Pseudomonadota; Betaproteobacteria; Burkholderiales; Comamonadaceae. The record is from RNAcentral.